AACAAUUCAUCCUUGUCAUUAAACUGGAAGAGAGAACCAGGAUAGUCUUUUUUAGCAACGGUGUAAACUGGAAUUGAUCCAUCAACAAUGAACUUUAAGUUCAUUUCACCACUUCAAGAGCUUGGGAAUUUAGUAAAUAAAGCUGCAAAAGCAUAGAAACCAUACAAUUGGUAACCACCGGUAUAUUUAAUGUCCACUUCAAAUCGAUAAUUAAAGGGAUUAGCUUUAUCUUGUUUUAUUCCAACACCAUCUA
This 253-nucleotide small RNA is filed under the name Mycoplasmoides pneumoniae M129. Its description in RNAcentral is "Mycoplasma pneumoniae M129 ncRNA". The record is from RNAcentral. Lineage: Bacteria; Bacillati; Mycoplasmatota; Mycoplasmoidales; Mycoplasmoidaceae.